AGCCGCCCGUCACCUCUCCAGCCGGGAGAGGGUCACGGGGGCUGCUUCGCCCGCGCGCACUCUCCCGGCUGGAGAGGUGACGGGCGGCU
RNAcentral lists this microRNA precursor (89 nucleotides) under Podarcis lilfordi (Lilford's wall lizard). The record is from RNAcentral. Lineage: Eukaryota; Metazoa; Chordata; Lepidosauria; Squamata; Lacertidae.